Transfer RNA from Saitoella complicata NRRL Y-17804, 72 nucleotides. It matches the Rfam family "tRNA". From Rfam's summary of the family: Transfer RNA (tRNA) molecules are approximately 80 nucleotides in length. Their secondary structure includes four short double-helical elements and three loops (D, anti-codon, and T loops). Further hydrogen bonds mediate the characteristic L-shaped molecular structure. tRNAs have two regions of fundamental functional importance: the anti-codon, which is responsible for specific mRNA codon recognition, and the 3' end, to which the tRNAs corresponding amino acid is attached (by aminoacyl-tRNA synthetases). tRNAs cope with the degeneracy of the genetic code in two manners: having more than one tRNA (with a specific anti-codon) for a particular amino acid; and 'wobble' base-pairing, i.e. permitting non-standard base-pairing at the 3rd anti-codon position. NCBI's taxonomy places the organism in Eukaryota, Fungi, Ascomycota, Saitoellomycetes, Saitoellales, Saitoellaceae. The record is from Rfam.
GGGCGUUUAGUUUAGGGGUAUAACAUUCGCUUCGCAUGCGAAAGGUCCUGGGUUCAAUUCCCAGAACGUCCA